UGGGGAAUAUUGCACAAUGGGCGAAAGCCUGAUGCAGCGACGCCGCGUGAGGGAUGACGGCCUUCGGGUUGUAAACCUCUUUCAGCAGGGACGAAGCGCAAGUGACGGUACCUGCAGAAGAAGCACCGGCUAACUACGUGCCAGCAGCCGCGGUAAUACGUAGGGUGCAAGCGUUGUCCGGAAUUACUGGGCGUAAAGAGUUCGUAGGCGGUUUGUCGCGUCGUUUGUGAAAACCAGCAGCUCAACUGCUGGCUUGCAGGCGAUACGGGGAGACUUGAGUACUGCAGGGGAGACUGGAAUUCCUGGUGUAGCGGUGAAAUGCGCAGAUAUCAGGAGGAACACCGGUGGCGAAGGCGGGUCUCUGGGCAGUAACUGACGCUGAGGAACGAAAGCGUGGGUAGCGAACAGG
This 409-nucleotide ribosomal RNA is filed under the name bacterium. Its description in RNAcentral is "partial 16S ribosomal RNA". It matches the Rfam family "Bacterial small subunit ribosomal RNA", at positions 355 to 776 of the family's 1533-position model. The record is from RNAcentral.